GUAGGGAAUAUUGGACAAUGGGGGCAACCCUGAUCCAGCGACGCCGCGUGAGUGAUGAAGGCCUUCGGGUCGUAAAGCUCUGUUGCAGGGGAAGAACACAAUGACGGUACCCUGCUAGAAAGGAUCGGCUAACUUCGUGCCAGCAGCCGCGGUAAGACGAGGGAUCCUAGCGUUGUUCGGAAUUAUUGGGCGUAAAGCGGGUGCAGGUGGCUUGGUAAGUCAGAUGUGAAAGCCUGGGGCUUAACCCCAGAAGUGCAUUUGAUACUGCUGAGCUUGAGUGCUGGAGAGGCUAUUAGAAUUCCUGGUGUAGUGGUGAAAUACGUAGAUAUCAGGAGGAAUACCGGAGGCGAAGGCGGAUAGCUGGCCAGACACUGACACUCAGACCCGAAAGCGUGGGGAUCAAACAGGAUUAGAAACUCCGGUAGUCC
RNAcentral lists this ribosomal RNA (428 nucleotides) under uncultured bacterium. RNAcentral's name for it is "partial 16S ribosomal RNA". It matches the Rfam family "Bacterial small subunit ribosomal RNA", at positions 354 to 796 of the family's 1533-position model. The record is from RNAcentral.